GGAGCUUGCUCCUUUGACGUUAGCGGCGGACGGGUGAGUAACACGUGGGUAACCUACCUAUAAGACUGGGAUAACUUCGGGAAACCGGAGCUAAUACCGGAUAAUAUUUCGAACCGCAUGGUUCGAUAGUGAAAGAUGGUUUUGCUAUCACUUAUAGAUGGACCCGCGCCGUAUUAGCUAGUUGGUAAGGUAACGGCUUACCAAGGCGACGAUACGUAGCCGACCUGAGAGGGUGAUCGGCCACACUGGAACUGAGACACGGUCCAGACUCCUACGGGAGGCAGCAGUAGGGAAUCUUCCGCAAUGGGCGAAAGCCUGACGGAGCAACGCCGCGUGAGUGAUGAAGGUCUUCGGAUCGUAAAACUCUGUUAUUAGGGAAGAACAUACGUGUAAGUAACUAUGCACGUCUUGACGGUACCUAAUCAGAAAGCCACGGCUAACUACGUGCCAGCAGCCGCGGUAAUACGUAGGUGGCAAGCGUUAUCCGGAAUUAUUGGGCGUAAAGCGCGCGUAGGCGGUUUUUUAAGUCUGAUGUGAAAGCCCACGGCUCAACCGUGGAGGGUCAUUGGAAACUGGAAAACUUGAGUGCAGAAGAGGAAAGUGGAAUUCCAUGUGUAGCGGUGAAAUGCGCAGAGAUAUGGAGGAACACCAGUGGCGAAGGCGACUUUCUGGUCUGUAACUGACGCUGAUGUGCGAAAGCGUGGGGAUCAAACAGGAUUAGAUACCCUGGUAGUCCACGCCGUAAACGAUGAGUGCUAAGUGUUAGGGGGUUUCCGCCCCUUAGUGCUGCAGCUAACGCAUUAAGCACUCCGCCUGGGGAGUACGACCGCAAGGUUGAAACUCAAAGGAAUUGACGGGGACCCGCACAAGCGGUGGAGCAUGUGGAUUUAAUUCGAAGCAUCGCGAAGAACCCUUACCAAAUCUUGACAUCCUUUGACACUCUAGAGAUAGAGCCUUCCCCUUCGGGCGACAAAGUGACAGUGGUGCAUGGUUGUCGUCAGCUCGUGUCGUGAGAUGUC
RNAcentral lists this ribosomal RNA (1019 nucleotides) under Staphylococcus epidermidis. RNAcentral describes it as "bacterial SSU rRNA". It matches the Rfam family "Bacterial small subunit ribosomal RNA", at positions 75 to 1076 of the family's 1533-position model. Lineage: Bacteria; Bacillati; Bacillota; Bacilli; Caryophanales; Staphylococcaceae. The record is from RNAcentral.